AGAGUUUGAUCAUGGCUCAGAAUCAACGCUGGCGGCGUGCCUAACACAUGCAAGUCGCGCGCGAAAGGGGGGCAACCCCCAAGUAGAGCGGCGAACGGGUGAGUAACACGUGGGUGAUCUUCCUUCGAGUGGGGAAUAACACCGGGAAACUGGUGCUAAUACCGCAUGACAUCCUUGGUUCAUUCCAGGGAUCAAAGCCGGGGACCGCAAGGCCUGGCGCUUGAAGAUGAGCCCGCGUCCGAUUAGCUAGUUGGCGGGGUAACGGCCCACCAAGGCUUCGAUCGGUAGCCGGCCUGAGAGGGCGGACGGCCACACUGGGACUGAGACACGGCCCAGACUCCUACGGGAGGCAGCAGUGGGGAAUUUUUCGCAAUGGGGGAAACCCUGACGAAGCAACGCCGCGUGGAGGAUGAAGGCCUUCGGGUCGUAAACUCCUGUCGACCGGGAAGAAUGCACCUGACCUAAUACGUCGGCGUGUUGACUGUACCGGUGAGA
This 495-nucleotide ribosomal RNA is filed under the name uncultured Acidobacteriaceae bacterium. RNAcentral describes it as "bacterial SSU rRNA". It matches the Rfam family "Bacterial small subunit ribosomal RNA", at positions 8 to 486 of the family's 1533-position model. The record is from RNAcentral. Lineage: Bacteria; Pseudomonadati; Acidobacteriota; Terriglobia; Terriglobales; Acidobacteriaceae.